CACAGACUUUAAGGUCAGAAGGGAUCAUCAUGAUCAUCUAGUCUGACCUCCUGCACAUUGCAGGCUACAGAACCUUGCCCACCUACUACUGUGAUAGACCCAUAACCUGUGGCUGAGUUACUGAAGUCCUCAAAUCAUUACUUAAAGACUUCAAGUUACAGAGAAUCCACCAUUUUCACUAAUUUAAAAGUGUGUGUUGACUCUGCUGCAGAGAAAUC
This is a long non-coding RNA of Dermochelys coriacea (leatherback sea turtle), 218 nucleotides long. RefSeq lists it as uncharacterized. The record is from RefSeq and is a predicted model, not a curated record. The transcript is spliced from 5 exons. NCBI's taxonomy places the organism in Eukaryota, Metazoa, Chordata, Testudines, Dermochelyidae.